This 444-nucleotide long non-coding RNA is filed under the name Vigna radiata. RNAcentral's name for it is "long non-coding RNA (VRAD_LNC004384)". Lineage: Eukaryota; Viridiplantae; Streptophyta; Magnoliopsida; Fabales; Fabaceae. The record is from RNAcentral.
CACAUUCUCGAAAGCCUCCUCCUUCACGAAUUAGGUUUCUGUGUUGCCACGUUUGGGGAAUAACUCGCAGUGGGUUUCAUGGUUCGAUUGAGUUUUCUGAUUUGGAUUUUUUUGUAUUAGGGCUGAUUGGGUUUUCUGAUUGGGGGUUUCAUGGUUCGAUUGGGUUAUCUGAUUUGAACGGUGCUCUGGCGAAGAUGAACUGUGGUGGAGAAGUUGUGCAUGGUUGACGAAGUAUAAGAUGGAUCAUGGUGAUUGCUAGUGACGAUGGUGCAUGGUGACUGACAGAGGAGUUAUGGUGGUCCGAUGAUGGUGGCGGCACAAGGAGGUUGGUAAGAGAAUUAGGGUUCAGGAGAUGAAAGAUGAAACUGAUGUGGCAGGGAUGAUGAGGUGGUUGCCUCAUAUUAGUUUCUUCACCGCCAAUAAAAGACCACAGCGUGCCACGUC